Molecule: ribosomal RNA, 520 nt
Filed under: uncultured Glomus
Lineage: Eukaryota; Fungi; Glomeromycota; Glomeromycetes; Glomerales; Glomeraceae
Description: SSU rRNA
Rfam family: Eukaryotic small subunit ribosomal RNA
Source: RNAcentral
AGCAGCCGCGGUAAUUCCAGCUCCAAUAGCGUAUAUUAAAGUUGUUGCAGUUAAAAAGCUCGUAGUUGAAUUUCGGGAUCAAUAUGUCGGUCGUGCCUCGGUACGUACUGGCGUCAUUGGUUUCUCCCUUCUGAAGAACCGCGAUGUCAUUAAUUUGGUGUCGUGGGGAAUCAGGACUGUUACUUUGAAAAAAUUAGAGUGUUUAAAGCAGGCUCGCGCUUGAAUACAUUAGCAUGGAAUAAUGAAAUAGGACGUUUGAUUCUAUUUUGUUGGUUUCUAGGAUCGACGUAAUGAUUAAUAGGGAUGGUUGGGGGCAUUAGUAUUCAAUUGUCAGAGGUGAAAUUCUUGGAUUUAUUGAAGACUAACUACUGCGAAAGCAUUUGCCAAGGAUGUUUUCAUUAAUCAAGAACGAAAGUUAGGGGAUCGAAGACGAUCAGAUACCGUCGUAGUCUUAACCAUAAACUAUGCCGACUAGGGAUCGGAUGAUGUUAAUUUUUAAUGACUCAUUCGGCGCCUUAAC